GUGCUCACUUCAGCAGCACAUAUACUAAAAUAGGAAUGAUACAGAGAGGAUUAGCAUGGUCCCUGCAUAAAGAUGACACACAAAUUAGUGAAGCAUUCCAUAUUAAA
Molecule: small nuclear RNA, 107 nt
Organism: Vombatus ursinus (common wombat)
Lineage: Eukaryota; Metazoa; Chordata; Mammalia; Diprotodontia; Vombatidae
Source: Ensembl